UGCCAAUCAAACUGCUACAAGACAACACCCUGAUCUGGCAUGGACAUCGCGGGUCCAAGCCUGUAGCCCCAAAUCGGAUAAUCUCUGCAGCUGAUAACAAGCAAAAGAGAAGCCAGGCAACAGCCAUAUUAAAGAAGAAAACAGUCAACUCUGAGCAGGAAGAAAUGUAAUGAAUUGAGUGCUGUCAGAGAUGUCUUCUGUUUGAACAAUCUGUGAUGGGCUGAAUGGCAGGGACUCCCUCAUCCAGUGCAGACACAGCCCAGGCAGACAGAAGGAAACGGAGCAUUAAUCCAACUGCAGUCACCCCAAAGUACAGGCCACUUGGAUCCAGAAGAGAAACUGGUUCCUUCUACAAGCUCUCCCGUUCUCCCUGGGGCCGUUCACAGCCCCCUUGUCUACGUUGUGGCUGUGCUUUCCCUGAUCCAACUUAGAAAUAAUGUUUCAUUCAAGAUAAGGCUCGUGGUUUAGGAGAUUGUGACCUGGCUUGCAUCAUUCUAAGACUUCUAUCGUCUGUUUUCAAAACCCAAGGAGGACCUCAUUUUCUGUGUGAUAGUUCCUCAUGCUUUGCCAGCCACUGGGUCUUUAAGGAAGCUUGCCAAGAGUUCCCGGCUGGGAAGG
This 618-nucleotide small RNA is filed under the name Pan troglodytes (chimpanzee). RNAcentral describes it as "sense overlapping". The stretch from base 48 to 156 matches the Rfam family "SOX2 overlapping transcript exon 4". Lineage: Eukaryota; Metazoa; Chordata; Mammalia; Primates; Hominidae. The record is from RNAcentral.